This 502-nucleotide ribosomal RNA is filed under the name uncultured bacterium. RNAcentral's name for it is "bacterial SSU rRNA". It matches the Rfam family "Bacterial small subunit ribosomal RNA", at positions 903 to 1397 of the family's 1533-position model. The record is from RNAcentral.
AAAUGAAUAGACGGGGGCCCGCACAAGCGGUGGAGCAUGUGGUUUAAUUCGAUGCAACGCGAAGAACCUUACCGGGGUUUGAAAUUAUCGAGAAAGCUAUGGAAACAUAGUGUGCCGGAGGAGACUCUGGCGGCGAUAACAGGUGGUGCAUGGUUGUCGUCAGCUCGUGUCGUGAGAUGUUGGGUUAAGUCCCGCAACGAGCGCAACCCUUACCUUUAGUUGCCAGCGGGUAGAGCCGGGCACUCUAGAGGGACUGCCGGGGACGACCCGGAGGAAGGUGGGGAUGACGUCAAAUCAUCAUGCCCCUUAUGUCCCGGGCUACACACGUGCUACAAUGGCCCGUACAGAGGGCAGCGAACCAGCGAUGGGGAGCGAAUCCCACAAAACGGGUCUCAGUUCGGAUUGCAGGCUGCAACUCGCCUGCAUGAAGUCGGAAUCGCUAGUAAUCGCAGGUCAGCAUACUGCGGUGAAUACGUUCCCGGGCCUUGUACACACCGCCCGU